This 903-nucleotide long non-coding RNA is filed under the name Sparus aurata (gilthead seabream). RNAcentral describes it as "lncRNA (ENSSAUG00010009778.1)". The record is from RNAcentral. Lineage: Eukaryota; Metazoa; Chordata; Actinopteri; Spariformes; Sparidae.
AUGAUCAAUGUUUGUGUCGAAAAAAGUAUGAAAGUUUAAAGUUGGACAAAAUGUUAGACCCAAAUAAAGUUCAAGUACUUCAGUACUUAAGAACAGUGUUUCUCACCUGUGUGUCUCACACAUGGCCUCAGGCCUCCAGAUGAAGCGGCCAUCUUUGUAGGAGCAGACAGAGUUUGGGUCGUCAGUCAGCAGAGGACGAUCUGACAACUGCUCCUGAUUGGCUGGGCUGUGGACCAGUAUAACAUACAUCACUUCCUGUUUGUACUGGACGGUCUCGUACACCCGCAUGAUGGGCUGAGUGCCGGAGCAACACUGUAACAAUAAAAGAAAUGUAUCACAAAUUCAUUCAUCAAGGUUCCUGUUAAUGUCCCGACAACAACGACAGACAACAUCGACUCUCCUUCUUUCUCUUUAAAGAAGCACUACGUAGUUUUAGAAAAGAAACUGAGAGUUCUGAUAUUUACAAUGUGAAUGAGGUAACAAUACAAACUUUUGUCCAUAAGUGAAUCAACAAGCUGUUCUCAUUUCUUCAACUAAACUACGGACUGCUCCUUUCAGUAAUCUGCUACCUGCUGGCUGUAGGCCUCCAGCACCUCCUCCAGGGGGAAGGUGAAGCGGUACGAGCCCAGCCUGGAGAGCUUGGAGAAGGCCGGGGAGGUGGCAAACUUCCCCAGGAAGCUCUGCUGCACCUGGACCUGCUCCUCCGUCCGGUCGGGGUAGGUCGUCUCCAGGAGCCUCGUCUCAGCUGAUGUGAUGUCAUCAGGCGCCACAGCCAGACUCCACCACACCAGAGAGUCUCCAUGUGGGUUCUUGAAGCCGUUAUCCCUCCAGAUGCCACAUAAUCCAUCUCUGUCUGUGUCGUGUUUCAGAUGAGACAGAUGAAACUCUGGUCGCGGACAUGCA